CCUCGCUCAGAAGACUUGUUAUCCAAGUUACACACAGAGAACACAGUUUCUCAUUAUUGACUUGGGGGAAAGUCCCUGGACCCUGGGUAGAGAGUGCCACAUAAUAAUCUUGUUAUGUCUGCUUAGUCUGCAGUCCUCUUCAUACUGGCUAUGAGGUUGUUAGAAUCGAGCCUGAGGAUAGACUAGGCAGUCGUCAGAGCACAGUCAUGCAAGUACCACUUCUGUAGUGGUAACACAACAGGGCUCACUCUCUGAGUAAC
Strongylocentrotus purpuratus (purple sea urchin) is the source of this 260-nucleotide non-coding RNA. NCBI's taxonomy places the organism in Eukaryota, Metazoa, Echinodermata, Echinoidea, Camarodonta, Strongylocentrotidae. The record is from Rfam.